GCACCACCUUGAGAAAACCUGAACUUGUUUAGAUCUCGGAAGCUCUGCGGGUGUGGGCCUGGUUAGUUCUGGGAUGGGAGACCUCUGGGAAUACUGAGUGCC
RNAcentral lists this ribosomal RNA (102 nucleotides) under Periophthalmus magnuspinnatus. Lineage: Eukaryota; Metazoa; Chordata; Actinopteri; Gobiiformes; Gobiidae. The record is from RNAcentral.